CAGUGGGGAAUAUUGGCCAAUGGGCGAAAGCCUGAUCCAGCCAUGCCGCGUGUGUGAAGAAGGUCUUCGGAUUGUAAAGCACUUUAAGUUGGGAGGAAGGGCAGUAAGUUAAUACCUUGCUGUUUUGACGUUACCAACAGAAUAAGCACCGGCUAACUUCGUGCCAGCAGCCGCGGUAAUACGAAGGGUGCAAGCGUUAAUCGGAAUUACUGGGCGUAAAGCGCGCGUAGGUGGUUCGUUAAGUUGGAUGUGAAAGCCCCGGGCUCAACCUGGGAACUGCAUCCAAAACUGGCGAGCUAGAGUAUGGCAGAGGGUGGUGGAAUUUCCUGUGUAGCGGUGAAAUGCGUAGAUAUAGGAAGGAACACCAGUGGCGAAGGCGACCACCUGGGCUAAUACUGACACUGAGGUGCGAAAGCAUGGGGAGCAAACAGGAUUAGAUACCCUGGUAGUCCACGCCGUAAACGAUAUCGGCUAGCCGUUGGGAUCCUUGAGAUCUUAGUGGCGCAGCU
RNAcentral lists this ribosomal RNA (509 nucleotides) under Pseudomonas putida. RNAcentral describes it as "bacterial SSU rRNA". It matches the Rfam family "Bacterial small subunit ribosomal RNA", at positions 352 to 853 of the family's 1533-position model. The record is from RNAcentral. Lineage: Bacteria; Pseudomonadati; Pseudomonadota; Gammaproteobacteria; Pseudomonadales; Pseudomonadaceae.